This 622-nucleotide ribosomal RNA is filed under the name Emiliania huxleyi. RNAcentral describes it as "partial Eukaryotic large subunit ribosomal RNA". It matches the Rfam family "Eukaryotic large subunit ribosomal RNA", at positions 629 to 1275 of the family's 3401-position model. The record is from RNAcentral. Lineage: Eukaryota; Haptophyta; Isochrysidales; Noelaerhabdaceae.
ACGGAACGGGCCCCUCCGACCCGUCUAGUAACACGGACCAAGGAGUCUGACACGUGUGCGAGUACCCGGGUGGCAAGCCCGCGUGCGGAAUGAAAGUGAAGGGCAUGCCCUGCCAACCGACCUUGACCUGCUGUGAGGGGUUUGAGUGGAGCACACCUGUCGGGACCCGAAAGAUGGUGAACUAUGCCUGGGUAGGGUGAAGCCAGAGGAAACUCUGGUGGAGGCUCGUAGCGAUACUGACGUGCAAAUCGUUCGUCGAAUCUGGGUAUAGGGGCGAAAGACUAAUCGAACCAUCUAGUAGCUGGUUCCCUCCGAAGUUUCCCACAGGAUAGCUUGAACGCAACGGUUUUGUCAGGUAAAGCGAAUGAUUAGAGGCCUGUGGGCUGAAACAGCUUGCACCUAUUCUCAAACUUUAAAUGGGCAAGAGGCCCGGGAUGCUUGAGUGAUCCCGGGCGGCGAACGGCGCGUUCAAAGUGGGCCAUUUUUGGUAAGCAGAACUGGCGAUGCGGGAUGAACCGAACGCCGCGCUAAGGUACCCAAGUGUCCGCUCAUCAGAUACCACAAAAGGCGUUGGUACCUCCAGACAGCAGGACGGUGGCCAUGGAAGUCGGAACCCGCUAAG